RNAcentral lists this ribosomal RNA (757 nucleotides) under Triticum aestivum (bread wheat). RNAcentral's name for it is "partial small subunit ribosomal RNA". The record is from RNAcentral. Lineage: Eukaryota; Viridiplantae; Streptophyta; Magnoliopsida; Poales; Poaceae.
GAGCGUAGAUUAGGAAGGGAGCCGAAGUGUGUAGGACUUGACGUCGUCGGCCGGGGACCUAUGUGAAGUCGCGCCUUGGCGCCGCCGGUGGCGAUAGUGAGGGGCCGCUGGCUAGGUUUAACGUCGAAGGUAACCGGUUGCCUAGUCUCUCGCGCUCUGGUCGGCCUAGGCUCCAAAUAAAAUUAGUUUCUAGACUUCUCCUCGCACGCGGGGCAAGUCCUAGACUAACAAACGACUGAUCAAUUAAAAACACCUACUCUCUUAAAAGACCACGAAACACCUACAGGACGACCUACCUCCGACCUACAGAGUGCACCUUCUUAACUAAGUACACCGAACACCCCCACUUACCGCAUCGUAGGGUAGCAGCUAGAAGUCGUGUGAGACAACUAGGAUGGCGAUCGCCGCGGGUCAGUCGGCAUUUGUCUAGUUGUAUAAAGAAAUUAAUAAAAACAAUCACCUGUAUACUAGUUUACCUAAGUGUUUAUCACUAAAGUCGACGAUAAAGAAGAAACCCUUUCAUCAUAUAUGGGUUGUUUUUCCUUGUCAUGGAGACCAAAGAUCAAAUUAGUGAUACAACUUUGGAAACCAACUUCCUAGUUCUUGCCGUGGAACGACGGUAGAAGAAAUAUACAAGUCAUAACAGAGUUAUACUUUAACGACGAUCUUAAAAGAUAAAACCUUUCCUUGUAUGUACAGGGUGAAGUUGUUCACGACAUAAAAAGACGCCUCUGUAUGCUGGUGUAAUGUUUUACAU